GAUGAACGCUGGCGGCGUGCCUAAUACAUGCAAGUCGAGCGAACAGACGAGGAGCUUGCUCCUCUGACGUUAGCGGCGGACGGGUGAGUCACACGUGGAUAACCUACUUAUAAGACUGGGAUAACUUCGGGAAACCGGAGCUAAUACCGGAUAAUAUAUUGAACCGCAUGGUUCAAUAGUGAAAGACGGUUUUGCUGUAACUUAUAGAUGGAUCCGCGCCGCAUUAGCUAGUUGGUAAGGUAACGGCUUACCAAGGCGACGAUGCGUAGCCGACCUGAGAGGGUGAUCGGCCACACUGGAACUGAGACACGGUCCAGACUCCUACGGGAGGCAGCAGUAGGGAAUCUUCCGCAAUGGGCGAAAGCCUGACGGAGCCACGCCGCGUGAGUGAUGAAGGUCUUCGGAUCGUAAAGCUCUGUUAUUAGGGAAGAACAAAUGUGUAAGUAACUAUGCACGUCUUGACGGUACCUAAUCAGAAAGCCACGGCUAACUACGUG
This 497-nucleotide ribosomal RNA is filed under the name uncultured bacterium. RNAcentral's name for it is "partial 16S ribosomal RNA". It matches the Rfam family "Bacterial small subunit ribosomal RNA", at positions 28 to 507 of the family's 1533-position model. The record is from RNAcentral.